Molecule: transfer RNA, 72 nt
Filed under: Camelus bactrianus (Bactrian camel)
Lineage: Eukaryota; Metazoa; Chordata; Mammalia; Artiodactyla; Camelidae
Also listed under: 2 other names
Rfam family: tRNA
About the family: Transfer RNA (tRNA) molecules are approximately 80 nucleotides in length. Their secondary structure includes four short double-helical elements and three loops (D, anti-codon, and T loops).
Source: Rfam by way of RNAcentral
GAGGAUAUAACUCAGUGGCAGAGUGUGUGCCUAGCAUGCAUGAAGUCCUGGGUUCAAUCCCCAGUACCUCCA